AUUGAACGCUGGCGGCAUGCCUUACACAUGCAAGUCGAACGGUAGAGUAGCAAUACUCGAGAGUGGCGAACGGGUGAGUAACAUAUCGGAACGUGCCCAAUCGUGGGGGCUAACGUAGCGAAAGUUACGCUAAUACCGCAUACGAUCUAAGGAUGAAAGCGGGGGAUCGCAAGACCUCGCGCGAUUGGAGCGGCCGAUAUCAGAUUAGGUAGUUGGUGAGGUAAAGGCUCACCAAGCCGACGAUCUGUAGCUGGUCUGAGAGGACGACCAGCCACACUGGGACUGAGACACGGCCCAGACUCCUACGGGAGGCAGCAGUGGGGGAAUUUUGGACAAUGGACGCAAGUCUGAUCCAGCAAUGCCGCGUGCAGGAUGAAGGCCUGG
RNAcentral lists this ribosomal RNA (384 nucleotides) under uncultured bacterium. RNAcentral describes it as "bacterial SSU rRNA". It matches the Rfam family "Bacterial small subunit ribosomal RNA", at positions 30 to 419 of the family's 1533-position model. The record is from RNAcentral.